RNAcentral lists this ribosomal RNA (550 nucleotides) under uncultured Acidobacteriota bacterium. RNAcentral describes it as "bacterial SSU rRNA". It matches the Rfam family "Bacterial small subunit ribosomal RNA", at positions 355 to 897 of the family's 1533-position model. The record is from RNAcentral. Lineage: Bacteria; Pseudomonadati; Acidobacteriota.
UCGGGAAUUUUGGGCAAUGGGCGAAAGCCUGACCCAGCAACGCCGCGUGAAGGAUGAAAUCCCUCGGGAUGUAAACUUCGCAAGAACGGGAAGAAUAAGUAAGAGUUAAUAUCUCUUAUGAUGACGGUACUGUUUGUAAGCUCCGGCUAACUCCGUGCCAGCAGCCGCGGUAAUACGGGGGGAGCAAGCGUUGUUCGGAUUUACUGGGCGUAAAGGGCGCGUAGGCGGCCACCGCAAGUCGACUGUGAAAUCUCCGGGCUUAACCCGGAAAGGUCAGCCGAUACUGCGGGGCUAGAGUGCAGAAGGGGCAACUGGAAUUCUCGGUGUAGCGGUGAAAUGCGUAGAUAUCGAGAGGAACACCUGCGGCGAAGGCGGGUUGCUGGGCUGACACUGACGCUGAGGCGCGAAAGCUAGGGGAGCGAACGGGAUUAGAUACCCCGGUAGUCCUGGCCUUAAACGAUGAAUGCUUGGUGUCUGGGGUUUUAUAGUCCCCGGGUGCCGUCGCUAACGCUUUAAGCAUUCCGCCUGGGGAGUACGGUCGCAAGACUGA